Molecule: long non-coding RNA, 695 nt
Organism: Pollicipes pollicipes
Lineage: Eukaryota; Metazoa; Arthropoda; Thecostraca; Pollicipedomorpha; Pollicipedidae
Exons: 2
Source: RefSeq, a predicted model, not a curated record
UAGCGGUCUCAGUCGUAGGCGGUGACACUGCUGAGGAGGCGGGGGAACGGCUGCAGAGCUAGGAUUUCGCCGAGACAGCGAUGAAGGCAUUCGUGGCACUCGUGGUCACGUUCUUGUGCAUCCAGGCUGGAGAGGGAUGGCGAAGCGGUCCGUCUCUGGCGCCGCUGGUCCGCGGAGGGCGUAAUCAGCCGGAGACCAUCUUCCCCAACUUCUGCCCAUCGUGUACCCGCCCCUGCGGCAGACACUGCUGUCGGCUCGCUGGCUGUGGAUAAGUGGUGGCCUCAGCAGAGGGGAUGUACCGGAACUCAUGCGGUUUGUGGCGGGGGCAGGUGACGCACUGGGCAUAACUCAACUGUGAAUCAGAAGCAUGAAUAGCUCGACGGUGCGUCAGCAUUCAUGUGGCGUUGCAGUGGGGCUCUGAAGUGUUGUUCCCUGUCUCUGUUUAGCGUCCGUCAUGUAACGCCAUUGUGUCAAAAACCCCAUUGCUUCGCGUAGUUAGCCUUGCUUUUUGUACUAUCGAUAGUUGUUUUGUGACACUGAUAAUUAUCUCGUAGUACUGAUAGUUACCUCGUACUACCGAUAGAUAUGGUAUUACUGAUGAUCAUUGCUAUUAACGUCCACUUAAUUCAGUGAUUGUACCCGAAAGCCGCGUUGUAUUAAGUGCUGAUGAACGACAAUAUUAUAAUGUUACAAUG